Transfer RNA from Babjeviella inositovora NRRL Y-12698, 72 nucleotides. It matches the Rfam family "tRNA". From Rfam's summary of the family: Transfer RNA (tRNA) molecules are approximately 80 nucleotides in length. Their secondary structure includes four short double-helical elements and three loops (D, anti-codon, and T loops). NCBI's taxonomy places the organism in Eukaryota, Fungi, Ascomycota, Pichiomycetes, Serinales. The record is from Rfam.
AAACCUAUGAUUCAAUGGUUAGAAUGAUCGCUUGAUAUGCGUUUUGUGUAGGUUCGAUUCCUGCUAGGUUUA